This 1761-nucleotide long non-coding RNA is filed under the name Ananas comosus (pineapple). RNAcentral describes it as "long non-coding RNA (ACOM_LNC036356)". The record is from RNAcentral. Lineage: Eukaryota; Viridiplantae; Streptophyta; Magnoliopsida; Poales; Bromeliaceae.
UAUUUAAAGAAUAAUAUAUAUAUAGAGCUAGUCUCCUACACUAUUUAUAUUAUCGGGGCUAUAUUACAGUCUCGUUUUCGAUCUUAGGAUGUUCAAAUCAACGAUCCACAUCGUUAAAAUUGAUGUAGGGUAUUUAAAUUUUUAGAAAUAAAAUUUUAUAUUUUUUCGACAUAGUUUACUUUAUGAUCAAACUAUUUCAAAAUUAUUAAUUUUCAAUGGCUACUAUGGUGAGUUUGAAGUUUAAUGGUGUAGAAGAAUCUAAAUUUCUUCAAAUUUUGAUAGAAAAUAUUUUAAACUAUUUAGGUUAAGGUUAACAUUCUUGAUCUUGAAUUUAAAAGUCCUAUACUCAAAUUAUAAAAUUUAGUUUUCAAAUACUUUUAGUAGUGUAAAUCAAGUCUAACGGAACCGAUCGUCGAUUUGGAAGCCACAUCAUUGAAAACAACUUGGUAGCACGGAGGCCUCCGUACUACCGAUAGUAUACCAGCCUAGCUCUCUCUCUCUCUCUCUCUCUCAUCCAUCUCUUUCUCGGUUGAUGAUUACCCGAAACUUCACAAGUCAUCUCCUCUGGCAUAAAAAGUGAAUAGGAUACGUAGCCCCUCUACUCCUAUCCUCUCUAUAUAUCUAUAUAUAUAUAUAUAUAUAUAUAGAGUUGAGCUAGAAUACUAUCGAUAACAAAUAGGCUCCGUUGCCACCCAUUUGUUUUCGAUAAUAGAGCCUCCAAAUCGACGAUCGGUACCGUUGAACGUGAUCUAUACCACUUAAAGUGUUUAGAAAUAAAAAUUGAAAUCUUUUCGACAUCAUUUGCCUAAUAAUCGAAAGGUUUCAAAUUUUGUAAUUUUAAUGAUCGAUAUGAGACGUUUUCUCGUUUAACGGUGUAAAGAUAUCCAAAUUAAUUAAAUUUUUGUUAGAAAAUUCUUUAAACUAUUUAAAACAAGAUCUAUACUCUUGAUCUUGAUUACAAGACUCCUAUCAUCAUUUUUUAAAGAAUAUUUAUUUUCAGCCGUUCAUUUUUGUGUCCACUCGAUGGAUAAGAGAACAAUGUUGAAAUUGUAUGAAAUUUGAUUCCUAAACACUUCAAGUGAUAUAGAUCAUAUUCAACGGUGCCGAUCGUCGAUUUGAAGGCUCCAUCAUCGAAAACAAAUGGGUGGCAACGGAGCCCGUUUGCUAUCGAUAGUAUUCUAUCUCAACUCUAUAUAUAUAUAUAUGGAGUAGGGCUACUAUACUCUUAUGAGUAUAGAGCUCUUCGUACUCAUAAGUUGUUUUCGAUGUUGGGGUUUUCGAAUCGACGAUCCACACCAUUAAACAUGAUCUAGAGUAUUUGAAACUUUUAGAAAAUAAAUUUCAUAAUUUUUCGAAAUCAUUAUAAAGUCCAUCAAGCGGGUAUAAAAUGAAUGGUCAAAAUCAAACGACAUACUAAAAAUGGAUGAUCAGAUCUUUCAAUUUAAGAUCGGAGUUAUUGAUCUUUAUUUAGGUAGUGAAUAGAAUUUUCUAUCAAAAAUUCAACCUAUUCCGAUUGUUUUUCACCAUUAAACUAGCAAAUAUUCCAUACCGGCCGUUAAAAAUUGUCAAUUUUGUAAGCUUUUGAUCGUAGGGUAAAUGAUAUCGAAAAAUUAUAAAAUUUAAUUUCUAGAAGUUUUAAAUGCUCUAGAUAAUGUUUAACGGUAUGGAUCGUCGAUUCGAAAGCUCUAUCAUCGAAAACAACUUAUGAGUACGAAGACGAUCGUACUCAUAAAAGUAUAGUAGCCGGACUAUAUAUAUAUA